UUGAAUAUAGCACCGUGAAUGGGUCUCGAACGUGAAAGCUGUGAAAAUGAGCAUGAGCGUUGGGGAUGAGUUGCGAAAAUGAAAGUCCAGAGCGCCCUGAGUCUGAGUUGCCUGGGAUGGAUUGGUCACCCUGGUAGAGGCGUUGUCUCUUCUCUUAGCACGUUGGUACAAGAAGAUGUGGCAUCUGAUCCCAAUGAUGGAUAUGACUCGUGUCGAACUUUGGAUCUUGACCCGAUGCGUAGGCUGCCAGGGCAAACGUUUUUUACGUUUUUUUUAACCCAUCUUUGAGCACCUGGAUGGGCUAGGAUGGUCGAGUCGGUGAGGGCAUCGAGACGCGGCGGGAUGAAACAUGUAAAAUGGCGUGAGGCGGCAUUUGGUAAUCAAUCUACCUUGGUUCAAAGGCAUUUGUUUGUUACGAAACCAGUUUGCGCCGUGCUCAAGCUUGAGAAUCAGGGGACAAUAUUUCCAGAGUUGGUCGUUUGGAAAUCAUUUAAAACACACAAUACAAACACAUUUCCAAAAUGUGUAAAAAAACCGAAAUCGAAAUAGGGGUUCCAAGUUCCAAGUCGUUCAAGACUGAUGUAGACAUGUUUGACUUUGGUGGCGACCCUGAUUGUUGUUCCACGACAAGAGAGCCUUUGUGGACCAGUGGAUCCACGACGUCCACUCGCAUGUCAAAACAACCCAACCGGAUCUCCAGUAGGAUGCACUAUGUACGAAGAAUACUUUUGCCUGGUCUUGACACUGUAUGAUUUGAUUGGUAUUCGGGGUGUGGAGGCCGCCGCCGCCGCCGCUGGCUCGCUCCAUAUCAAUGUGAAUGUGAUCAAGACCAGAGGCGUAGCGGGAUUCCAAUUCUGUAACUGCUCAAUGGAAUGCUGGACCUGGGCAGGCAGACGUUACCAUGGUAUCCAAGUUAAUAAUGAUGACGAGCGUGGCUUGGUGCAAAACCAGUUCUUAGCCCAUCCGACAGCGCUCGAGAUCCUCAAGUGCGAGGAGGUCCUGGAACCCAAACCGAGGCCCAAGGCCACCCAUGAUCCUCCCCAGAGUCUUCCAUCUUCUAGCCGAGAACGCUUCUACUUCACAUUCGUAUGGGUGGCCUUUGCUCUCGCUUGCAUUGGGAUCCCAAUCCUGCUGGCCCGUCUUUGCUGCCAAUCCAUUAUCAGCUGGCAUCGCUCCAGGGAUGAUCAUCCCAACCCAAGCGACCCUGCCUGUCACUCCAUUCCAAAUCACAUCAUGACCCAUGUCAACCUACCUCCUCCUAGUUACAAGGAGAGCACGGAUCUCCAUCUGGGUCCGCCUCCCACAUAUGAGCAAGCCAUGGCGCAAGUCUAAUUCAAGAUGGGGUCAUUCAUUGGCGCAAUUCUUGCUCAAGGUGUACAAUUGUAUUAGUGAUCACAAACACACAAAUUAUUAGGACAAUUGCCUGUGGAGCAGUUGUCGCGGCACCAGUCAUCUAAUCCCGGCAUAUCGCGUGCUGAAUCCUGAGCCCGACAACGAGGAGAAGGAGAGGGACGAAGAGGAGUGGCCUCACCCUGUGGCAGAUUCAUGACUCCAAUGGAAUCCUAGAAUGUUACUGAAGUUCAAUCCCCUUUCCGCCCGCUCCGCCAACUCUGCCGGCUCGUCGUUUUCCUCAGAGGUUGCCCCUUUUUGAGGUGCUUCUUCCGUCACCCUGAAAUACAAGUUGGACCAAUUACAGGAACUAAGUGGAUUUAGGAAAUAGCUUGAGCCCCAUUUACUCAAGGGCCUGGUUGAAGAUCAAAUUUUCCAAGGCAUUCAUCCUGGUUUCCAAAGCUUCUUGUCUCUGCAAAAUUUCCUCUGUUGGAUGUUGUUUGUCAUUGAUAUCCGGAAC
This is an RNA transcript of Tigriopus californicus, 1849 nucleotides long. RefSeq lists it as uncharacterized. NCBI's taxonomy places the organism in Eukaryota, Metazoa, Arthropoda, Copepoda, Harpacticoida, Harpacticidae. The transcript has 4 exons. The record is from RefSeq and is a predicted model, not a curated record.